Long non-coding RNA from Arabidopsis lyrata subsp. lyrata, 758 nucleotides. RefSeq lists it as uncharacterized. Lineage: Eukaryota; Viridiplantae; Streptophyta; Magnoliopsida; Brassicales; Brassicaceae. The transcript has 3 exons. The record is from RefSeq and is a predicted model, not a curated record.
CCUAAUUAACUGUUUUUUUUUCCCUGUCGUAGAUGAACAUGUCGAGGUAAAACAAAAAGGACCCUAGUCUCUCUCAAACGAGCCCACCGCCGUAUCUCCACCGACUGCGUGUUUUCCGGCAUUGUUGGUCCUCCGGUGUUCAUCUGGGCGACGAUUGAAGACUGAAUCAAUAGGUUUUGGAUCUAUAUUACAUCAAAGGUUAUCAAUGGAAAACAAUCUAGGAAGCACGAGUAAGACAUCAGCCACUACUAAGGAGUUUCCCAAGCGCCUUUUCGGACAUGGUAAAGAGCCUGAAGUUGAGAAAAUUAACAACAGCUGCAGAUUAUCGAUACUUAGGAAAAUCAAAGAUGCUUUGCCACAUUGAGUGUCAUAUGCUUAAUCUAAGCAUGGAUUUGAUAAACGAUAGGAACAUCAAAGAGGCGCGCAUGAAGAUUGAUGUAGACCUUUGGGAGGCUGCUCAUGAUCCUAUCUUAAUUGAGCGAAUGGAGAACUAUAAACCUCCACAUCAAUUGUCUGAUAUCCUUGAAAUUGAUUGAGAUUAAUUAGCAUUAUGGUUUUUUUUAUCGUGCAAACAGAUUAUGUACUAGUCUUGCGACAUGUAGUUUGUAUGACCUUUGUUUUUUGUUCCUAAUUAUUUAGGCAUUUUAUGAAAGUAAGUUUCUUGAGUUCGUCUCUAAUAUCUCCUUUUAGCUCGAGCAAGAUGAUUUUUUGUUCUCCACUACUUCUUGUGCUUAUCUGUUUUAUACGUGUUCUACUCA